CACGAUUUAAUCCUACAAUUGAUGAGACUUUUCAAAAGGUUCUCUCAAAAAACAGGGGCUAUUAAAAAGCAGCGACUUCUCUUCUUAAUUCAUUGCUUCCUAAUUGCUAGAACCUAAGAAACUAUGGAGCCGUUUCAAGAAAACAGGGUGAAUCAGCCGUUGUUGGAGCCAAAAGAACCCGCACGGCAGGUGUCUGGGGAGUAUAUAAGUUCUGAGCUUGAGGAUAUACUAUCGAACACCAGCUUGUCGUGGUGGCGCCGCCUGCAAAAGGCCAUCUGGACCGAGAUGAAGACUCUCUACCUCCUUGCAGCUCCUGCGGUUAUAGUUUACUUGCUUAACAAUGUUACUUCAGUGUCCACUCAGAUUUUCUGUGGCCAUCUUGGCAAUCUUGAACUUGCUGCUGCAUCUCUCGGCAACAACGGUGUUCAACUUCUGGCCUAUGGAAUCAUGGUAACCCUCAAUCACUACUUGCCCCCCAAAAAGUAAAUAAUUAAUACUUAACUAAAUUAUUAUCUAUUAUAAUUCCCUGUCAUACCAAUUCUGCAAAUGAAGAUACUACUUUUGUGCUUGCCAUGAGCAGCUAGGAAUGGGAAGUGCAGUAGAAACGUUGUGUGGGCAGGCAUAUGGAGCUCACAGAUACGAAAUGCUUGGAAUAUACAUGCAAAGAUCAACAAUCCUCCUGAUUGCAACAGGGAUACCAUUGAUGAUAAUUUAUAUUUUCUGCAAGCCAAUUUUGCUCUUGCUAGGUGAAUCAAAAAGGCUUGCAUCUGCGGCAUCUGUGUUCAUCUAUGGCCUAAUCCCUCAGAUUUUCGCGUACGCUGCAAAUUUUCCUAUACAAAAGUUCUUGCAGGCACAAAGCAUAGUGAAUCCCAGUGCAUAUAUAGCAGCAGGUACACUGGUACUGCACUUGCUAUUGACAUGGCUGGUGGUGUAUGUGUUCGGAUGGGGAUUGCUCGGUGCGGCACUGGUGUUGAGUUUAUCGUGGUGGAUUAUAGUGGUGGUACAAUUUGUGUAUAUUUUAUGGACUGAGAAGUGCAAAGCUACAUGGACUGGAUUCAGUUGGAGGGCAUUUCAUGGGCUGUGGGAUUUUUUGAAGAUUUCAACUUCCUCUGCCGUUAUGCUCUGCCUCGAGACUUGGUACUUUCAGAUUUUAAUUCUUAUUGCUGGUUUGCUUCCCAAUCCUGAAAUUGUAUUGGACUCCUUGUCUGUUUGGUAAGGCUAAAUUUCUCCACUUUCUUGUCCAAUUCAAAAAUCAUUUCAUGUUCUGGAAAAUUAAAAUAAUUAGUUAAUUAAUUAAUAUGCAGUGUCACAGUCCUUGGUUGGGUAUUUAUGAUAUCUGUGGGUUUCAAUGCUGCUGCAAGGUAUUUAUGAUAUCCUUUAUUUUCCCUUUUCUCAUUUUUCAGUGGUUUGCUAAGUAUUGAAUUAAUUUUUGCUCUUAAUGAAUUAAAUUCAUUAUUUCCUAAUUAAUUUUAAUAUCCAGUGUAAGGGUUAGCAAUGAGCUUGGAGCUGGACAUCCCAAAUCAGCUGCAUUUUCUGUCGUGGUGGUGACAAUGAAUUCCUUCGUAUUAGCAGUAUUUUUUGCCGUUUUGUCAUAUUUGCUGCGUUAUCAAUUAAGUUAUAUCUUCACCGGCGGAGAAACAGUUUCAAAUGCAGUAGCAGACCUCACACCACUCAUGGCCAUCUCCAUUGUUCUUAAUGGCAUUCAACCUGUUUUGUCUGGUAAAAUAUAAAUUUCCUUUUC
RNAcentral lists this long non-coding RNA (1741 nucleotides) under Olea europaea subsp. europaea. The record is from RNAcentral. Lineage: Eukaryota; Viridiplantae; Streptophyta; Magnoliopsida; Lamiales; Oleaceae.